UUGCACACACAAAGUUGCAGCAAACCCCCUUUGCGAAUUUUAUGAUUGUCCCCCUUGGCUGGUCGGGGCACGAGCGAUCGUGUCUUGGCCGGCCAACCCGAGUCCCCGGGGGCUUUGGGGCUCCCUCCCCCGGGAGUGAGUCUCAUCACCCGGGACUUGGUGUUUCCAAACCGAUUGCGCAAUGCAUCAACACUUUCAAUAUGACUGAGUAUAUAAAGAAGAUCGGAGGGGCAUUGGACUCGCGUCCGGUGCCCCCCUCGAGUUGUAAUAAUAAACAAAAACAACUCUCAGCAACGGAUAUCUUGGCUCUUGCAACGAUGAAGAACGCAGCGAAAUGCGAUACGUAGUGUGAAUUGCAGAAUUCCGCGAAUCAUCGAGUCUUUGAACGCAAGUUGCGCCCGAGGCUUGACCAAGGGCAUUUCUGCCAGAGCGUCACCGCGACACCCACCAAUCCGCUCCGAGCGAGUGGACUGAGUGAAAGUGGCCAUCCGAAUGGGGCCACCCUUGGGUGGCAGAUUGGGUUGGCUGAAAUGGAGGGGAAUUUGGCCGCCGUGGUGACACAGCCCGCGAUCAGGUGAUCCAGGCUUUCUUGUCUUGGAACUCAAACGUGCGUCGGUUGUGUCUCCCAGUUGGCACUCGGAUUCCAAAGCAGGUCCCUCUCCUCUCCCCCGUAAGAACGGGGAGAGGAGGAGUGUAACGUCACGCAUCAGACCUCUGAUCAGAAAAGACUACCCGCUGAGUUUAAGCAUAUCACUAAGCGGAGGAGAAGAAAC
This 773-nucleotide small RNA is filed under the name Cynodontium strumiferum. RNAcentral describes it as "eukaryotic LSU rRNA". The stretch from base 283 to 435 matches the Rfam family "5.8S ribosomal RNA". Lineage: Eukaryota; Viridiplantae; Streptophyta; Bryopsida; Dicranales; Rhabdoweisiaceae. The record is from RNAcentral.